Non-coding RNA from Hordeum vulgare subsp. vulgare (domesticated barley), 137 nucleotides. NCBI's taxonomy places the organism in Eukaryota, Viridiplantae, Streptophyta, Magnoliopsida, Poales, Poaceae. The record is from Rfam.
AAUAUACUUCCUCCGUCCCAAAAUUUCUUGUCUUAGAUUUGUCAAGGUAUAAAUGUAUCUAGUCACGUUUUAGUAUUUUGAUACAUCCAUUUGUAAGCAAACCUAAGACAAGAAUUUUGGAACGGAGGGAGUAUGUG